This 399-nucleotide ribosomal RNA is filed under the name uncultured bacterium. RNAcentral describes it as "bacterial SSU rRNA". It matches the Rfam family "Bacterial small subunit ribosomal RNA", at positions 29 to 414 of the family's 1533-position model. The record is from RNAcentral.
AACGAACGUUAGCGGCGCGCCUAACACAUGCAAGUCGAGCGAGAAAGGGCUUCGGCCCCGGUAAAGCGGCGCACGGGUGAGUAACACGUGGAUAACCUACCCCUUGGUGGUGGAUAACCUUCCGAAAGGAGGGCUAAUACAGCGUAAGACCACGACUUCGAAAGAGGUUGGGGUAAAAGUGGGCCUCUGUACACAAGCUCACGCCAGGGGAUGGGUCCGCGGCCCAUCAGCUAGUUGGUAGGGUAACGGCCUACCAAGGCGAAGACGGGUAGCUGGUCUGAGAGGAUGAUCAGCCACACUGGAACUGAGACACGGUCCAGACUCCUACGGAGGCAGCAGUGGGGAAUCUUGCGCAAUGGACGAAAGUCUGACGCAGCGACGCCGCGUGAGUGAUGAAGG